This 56-nucleotide transfer RNA is filed under the name Agama armata. Its description in RNAcentral is "tRNA-Ser". The record is from RNAcentral. Lineage: Eukaryota; Metazoa; Chordata; Lepidosauria; Squamata; Agamidae.
GAGACUAACUACGAACUGCUAACUCGUAAAACUGAGAUUGAACACUCGGACCUCUC